GACGAACGCUGGCGGCGUGCUUAACACAUGCAAGUCGAACGGAAAGGCCCUGCUUUUGUGGGGUGCUCGAGUGGCGAACGGGUGAGUAACACGUGAGUAACCUGCCCUUGACUUUGGGAUAACUUCAGGAAACUGGGGCUAAUACCGGAUAGGAGCUCCUGCUGCAUGGUGGGGGUUGGAAAGUUUCGGCGGUUGGGGAUGGACUCGCGGCUUAUCAGCUUGUUGGUGGGGUAGUGGCUUACCAAGGCUUUGACGGGUAGCCGGCCUGAGAGGGUGACCGGCCAAAUUGGGACUGAGAUACGGCCCCGACUCCUACGGGCGGCAGCAGUCGGGAAUAUUGCACAAUGGGCGGAAGCCUAAUGCAGCAACGCCGCGUGCGGGAUGACGGCCUUCGGGUUAUAAACCGCUUUCGCCUGUGACGAAGCGUGCGUGACGGUAAUGGGUAAAGAAGCACCGGCUAACUACGUG
This 468-nucleotide ribosomal RNA is filed under the name uncultured bacterium. RNAcentral describes it as "partial 16S ribosomal RNA". It matches the Rfam family "Bacterial small subunit ribosomal RNA", at positions 28 to 507 of the family's 1533-position model. The record is from RNAcentral.